This 380-nucleotide unclassified non-coding RNA is filed under the name uncultured Actinomycetes bacterium. RNAcentral's name for it is "uncultured actinobacterium contains 16S-23S intergenic spacer region". The record is from RNAcentral. Lineage: Bacteria; Bacillati; Actinomycetota; Actinomycetes.
UCUCCGCUUGCGCGGGCAGUCUUUUUAGAGUCCCCAGCAUAACCUGUUGGCAACUAAAAAUAAGGGUUGCGCUCGUUGCGGGACUUAACCCAACAUCUCACGACACGAGCUGACGACAGCCAUGCACCACCUGUGAUCCUGCCCACAAGGGGAAACCGUGUUUCCACGGCGGUCAGGAACAUGUCAAACCCAGGUAAGGUUCUUCGCGUCGCGUCGAAUUAAACCACAUGCUCCACCGCUUGUGCGGGUCCCCGUCAAUUCCUUUGAGUUUUAGCCUUGCGGCCGUACUCCCCAGGCGGGGCACUUAAUGCGUUAGCUGCGGCGCGGAAUCCGUUGAGUGAAUCCCACACCUAGUGCCCACCGUUUACGGCGUGGACUAC